RNAcentral lists this ribosomal RNA (462 nucleotides) under uncultured eukaryote. RNAcentral describes it as "SSU rRNA". It matches the Rfam family "Eukaryotic small subunit ribosomal RNA", at positions 136 to 598 of the family's 1831-position model. The record is from RNAcentral.
UUCUUGGAUACCGUAAGUACUCUAGAGCUAAUACAUGCAUCAAUCCCUGACUUCCUGGAAGGGGUGUACUUAUUAGAUGGAAACCAAUGCGGGUUCGCCCGGAUCCUGGUGAUUCAUAAUAAUUUUCGGAUCGAUCAAUUGAUCGAUGCAUCAUUCAAGUUUCUGCCCUAUCAGCUUUGGAUGGUAGGGUAUUGGCCUACCAUGGCAUUAACGGGUAACGGAGAAUUAGGGUUCGAUUCCGGAGAGGGCGCCUGAGAAACGGCGACCAGUUCCAAGGAAGGCAGCAGGCGCGUAAAUUACCCAAUCCUGACACAGGGAGGUAGUGACAAUAAAUAACAAUGUCGGGCCUUCGGGUUUGACAAUUGGAAUGAGAACAAUUUAAAAUCCCUUAUCGAGGAUCAAUUGGAGGGCAAGUCUGGUGCCCAGCANCCGCGGGUAAUUCCAGCUCCAAUAGCCGUAUNC